UUAGAGUUUGAUCCUGGCUCAGGAUGAACGCUAUCGGCAGGCUUAACACAUGCAAGUCGAGGGGCAGCGAGAUCAGUGCUUGCACUGAUUGUCGGCGACCGGCGCACGGGUGCGUAACGCGUAUGCAACCUACCCAUUACAGGGGGAUAACACUGAGAAAUCGGUACUAAUACCCCAUAACAUCCAGGGAGGCAUCUUCUUGGGUUGAAAACUCCGGUGGUAAUGGAUGGGCAUGCGUUGUAUUAGUUAGUUGGUGGGGUAACGGCUCACCAAGACAACGAUACAUAGGGGGACUGAGAGGUUAACCCCCCCACAUUGGUACUGAGACACGGACCAAACUCCUACGGGAGGCAGCAGUGAGGAAUAUUGGUCAAUGGACGCAAGUCUGAACCAGCCAUGCCGCGUGCAGGAAGACGGCUCUAUGAGUUGUAAACUGCUUUUGUACGAGGGUAAACGCAGAUACGCGUAUCUGUCUGAAAGUAUCGUACGAAUAAGGAUCGGCUAACUCCGUGCCAGCAGCCGCGGUAAUACGGAGGAUUCAAGCGUUAUCCGGAUUUAUUGGGUUUAAAGGGUGCGUAGGCGGUCGGAUAAGUUAGAGGUGAAAUCCCGGGGCUCAACUUCGGAAUUGCCUCUGAUACUGUUCGGCUAGAGAGUAGUUGCGGUAGGCGGAAUGUAUGGUGUAGCGGUGAAAUGCUUAGAGAUCAUACAGAACACCGAUUGCGAAGGCAGCUUACCAAGCUACUUCUGUCGUUGAGGCACGAAAGCGUGGCCCCCAAAAGGGAUUAGAAUACCUAGGUAGUCAACGCAGUAACCCAUGAAAGCUCGUUGUCGGCGAUACAGUGUCGGUGACUAAGCGAAAAGCGAUAAAAUUAUCCACCUGGGGAGUCGGUUCGCAAGAAUGAAAACUCAAAGGAAUAGACGGGGGCCCGCACAAGCGGAGGAACAUGUGGUUUAAUUCGAUGAUACGCGAGGAACCUUACCCGGGCUUGAAAGUUAGUGACGGAUCUUGAAAGAGGUCUUCCCUUCGGGGCACGAAACUAGGUGCUGCAUGGUUGUCGUCAGCUCGUGCCGUGAGGUGUCGGGUUAAGUCCCAUAACGAGCGCAACCCCUACCGUUAGUUGCCAGCAGGUCAAGCUGGGCACUCUGACGGGACUGCCGGUGUAAGCCGAGAGGAAGGUGGGGAUGACGUCAAAUCAGCACGGCCCUUACGUCCGGGGCUACACACGUGUUACAAUGGCAGGUACAGAGGGCAGCUACCCAGCGAUGGGAUGCGAAUCUCGAAAGCCUGUCUCAGUUCGGAUUGGAGGCUGAAACCCGCCUCCAUGAAGUUGGAUUCGCUAGUAAUCGCGCAUCAGCCAUGGCGCGGUGAAUACGUUCCCGGGCCUUGUACUCACCGCCCGUCA
This 1403-nucleotide ribosomal RNA is filed under the name uncultured bacterium. RNAcentral's name for it is "16S ribosomal RNA". It matches the Rfam family "Bacterial small subunit ribosomal RNA". The record is from RNAcentral.